Molecule: ribosomal RNA, 620 nt
Filed under: Pseudomonas aeruginosa
Lineage: Bacteria; Pseudomonadati; Pseudomonadota; Gammaproteobacteria; Pseudomonadales; Pseudomonadaceae
Description: bacterial SSU rRNA
Rfam family: Bacterial small subunit ribosomal RNA
Source: RNAcentral
UUGCUCCUGGAUUCAGCGGCGGACGGGUGAGUAAUGCCUAGGAAUCUGCCUGGUAGUGGGGGAUAACGUCCGGAAACGGGCGCUAAUACCGCAUACGUCCUGAGGGAGAAAGUGGGGGAUCUUCGGACCUCACGCUAUCAGAUGAGCCUAGGUCGGAUUAGCUAGUUGGUGGGGUAAAGGCCUACCAAGGCGACGAUCCGUAACUGGUCUGAGAGGAUGAUCAGUCACACUGGAACUGAGACACGGUCCAGACUCCUACGGGAGGCAGCAGUGGGGAAUAUUGGACAAUGGGCGAAAGCCUGAUCCAGCCAUGCCGCGUGUGUGAAGAAGGUCUUCGGAUUGUAAAGCACUUUAAGUUGGGAGGAAGGGCAGUAAGUUAAUACCUUGCUGUUUUGACGUUACCAACAGAAUAAGCACCGGCUAACUUCGUGCCAGCAGCCGCGGUAAUACGAAGGGUGCAAGCGUUAAUCGGAAUUACUGGGCGUAAAGCGCGCGUAGGUGGUUCAGCAAGUUGGAUGUGAAAUCCCCGGGCUCAACCUGGGAACUGCAUCCAAAACUACUGAGCUAGAGUACGGUAGAGGGUGGUGGAAUUUCCUGUGUAGCGGUGAAAUGCGUAGAUA